RNAcentral lists this ribosomal RNA (823 nucleotides) under Nostoc sp. 'Dendriscocaulon sp. cyanobiont' 36_Rikkinen_000313. Its description in RNAcentral is "bacterial SSU rRNA". It matches the Rfam family "Bacterial small subunit ribosomal RNA", at positions 64 to 928 of the family's 1533-position model. RNAcentral also lists the same sequence under 1 other name. Lineage: Bacteria; Bacillati; Cyanobacteriota; Cyanophyceae; Nostocales; Nostocaceae. The record is from RNAcentral.
GAACGGUGUCUUCGGACACAGUGGCGGACGGGUGAGUAACGCGUGAGAAUCUGCCAUCAGGUCUGGGACAACCACUGGAAACGGUGGCUAAUACCGGAUGUGCCCUUCGGGGUGAAAGGUUAACUGCCUGUUGAUGAGCUCGCGUCUGAUUAGCUAGUUGGUGUGGUAAGAGCGCACCAAGGCGACGAUCAGUAGCUGGUCUGAGAGGACGAUCAGCCACACUGGGACUGAGACACGGCCCAGACUCCUACGGGAGGCAGCAGUGGGGAAUUUUCCGCAAUGGGCGAAAGCCUGACGGAGCAAUACCGCGUGAGGGAGGAAGGCUCUUGGGUCGUAAACCUCUUUUCUCAGGGAAGAACACAAUGACGGUACCUGAGGAAUAAGCAUCGGCUAACUCCGUGCCAGCAGCCGCGGUAAUACGGAGGAUGCAAGCGUUAUCCGGAAUGAUUGGGCGUAAAGCGUCCGCAGGUGGCUAUGUAAGUCUGCUGUUAAAGAGUCUAGCUCAACUAGAUAAGAGCAGUGGAAACUACAAGGCUAGAGUGCGUUCGGGGCAGAGGGAAUUCCUGGUGUAGCGGUGAAAUGCGUAGAGAUCAGGAAGAACACCGGUGGCGAAGGCGCUCUGCUAGGCCGCAACUGACACUGAGGGACGAAAGCUAGGGGAGCGAAUGGGAUUAGAUACCCCAGUAGUCCUAGCCGUAAACGAUGGAUACUAGGCGUGGCUUGUAUCGACCCGAGCCGUGCCGUAGCUAACGCGUUAAGUAUCCCGCCUGGGGAGUACGCCGGCAACGGUGAAACUCAAAGGAAUUGACGGGGGCCCGCACAA